RNAcentral lists this unclassified non-coding RNA (340 nucleotides) under soil metagenome. RNAcentral describes it as "partial contains 5.8S ribosomal RNA, internal transcribed spacer 2, and large subunit ribosomal RNA". The stretch from base 1 to 120 matches the Rfam family "5.8S ribosomal RNA", at positions 35 to 154 of the family's 154-position model. The record is from RNAcentral.
GAUGAAGAACGUAGCGAAAUGCGAUAAUUAAUGUGAAUUGCAGAAUUCAGUGAAUCAUCGAGUCUUUGAACGCACAUUGCGCCCCCUGGUAUUCCGGGGGGCAUGCCUGUCCGAGCGUCAUUGCUGCCCUCAAGCCCGGCUUGUGUGUUGGGCCCUGCUCCCCCGGGGGCAGGCCCGAAAGGCAGUGGCGGCACCGCGUCCGAUCCUCGAGCGUAUGGGGCUUUGUCACCCGCUCUGUAGGCCCGGCCGGCGCUUGCCGACCCCCAUCAAUCUUUUUUCAGGUUGACCUCGGAUCAGGUAGGGAUACCCGCUGAACUUAAGCAUAUCAAUAAGCGGAGGA